AUAAAUCAAAACUUUCAACAACGGAUCUCUUGGUUCUGGCAUCGAUGAAGAACGCAGCGAAAUGCGAUAAGUAAUGUGAAUUGCAGAAUUCAGUGAAUCAUCGAAUCUUUGAACGCACAUUGCGCCCGCCAGUAUUCUGGCGGGCAUGCCUGUUCGA
RNAcentral lists this ribosomal RNA (157 nucleotides) under Cylindrocladiella lageniformis. RNAcentral's name for it is "5.8S ribosomal RNA". It matches the Rfam family "5.8S ribosomal RNA". Rfam says of the family: 5.8S ribosomal RNA (5.8S rRNA) is a component of the large subunit of the eukaryotic ribosome. It is transcribed by RNA polymerase I as part of the 45S precursor that also contains 18S and 28S rRNA. The record is from RNAcentral. RNAcentral also lists the same sequence under 1 other name. Lineage: Eukaryota; Fungi; Ascomycota; Sordariomycetes; Hypocreales; Nectriaceae.